This 396-nucleotide ribosomal RNA is filed under the name uncultured bacterium. RNAcentral describes it as "bacterial SSU rRNA". It matches the Rfam family "Bacterial small subunit ribosomal RNA", at positions 29 to 426 of the family's 1533-position model. The record is from RNAcentral.
AUUGAACGCUGGCGGCGUGCCUAACACAUGCAAGUCGAGCGGUAACAGGUGUAGCAAUACAUGCUGACGAGCGGCGGACGGGUGAGUAACGCUUGGGAAUCUGCCUAUUAGUGGGGGACAACCCGGGGAAACUCGGGCUAAUACCGCAUACGCUCUACGGAGGAAAGCCGGGACCGCAAGGCCUGGCGCUAAUAGAUGAGCCCAAGUCGGAUUAGCUAGUUGGUAGGGUAAUGGCCUACCAAGGCGACGAUCCGUAACCUGGUCUGAGAGGACGACCAGUCACACCGGAACUGAGACACGGUCCGGACUCCUACGGGAGGCAGCAGUGGGGAAUAUUGGACAAUGGGCGAAAGCCUGACGCAGCGACGCCGCGUGAGGGAUGACGGCCUCGGUUGU